GAGAAGUCCCGGCAAACUCUGUGCCAGCAGCCGCGGUAAUACGGAGGGGGCAAGCGUUGUUCGGAAUUAUUGGGCGUAAAGGGCACGUAGGUGGACUAGUAAGUUAAAAGUGAAAUACCAAAGCUUAACUUUGGAGCGGCUUUUAAUACUGCUAGACUAGAGGUCGAAAGAGGAUAGCGGAAUUCCUAGUGUAGAGGUGAAAUUCGUAGAUAUUAGGAGGAACACCAGUGGCGUAAGGCGGCUAUCUGGUUCGAUACUGACACUGAAGGUGCGAAAAGCGUGGGGAGCAAACAGGAUAGG
This 300-nucleotide ribosomal RNA is filed under the name Ehrlichia canis. RNAcentral describes it as "bacterial SSU rRNA". It matches the Rfam family "Bacterial small subunit ribosomal RNA", at positions 485 to 781 of the family's 1533-position model. The record is from RNAcentral. Lineage: Bacteria; Pseudomonadati; Pseudomonadota; Alphaproteobacteria; Rickettsiales; Anaplasmataceae.